UGGAAGUAAAAANUCGUAACAAGGUUUCCGUAGGUGAACCUGCGGAAGGAUCAUUACCGUUGGGGCUUCGGCCCCAAUCAAGAUACCACCCCUUGCAUUUUGAGUACCUUCUGUUUCCUCGGCGGGCCCGCCCGCCAACGGGGACCACACCGAACCCUUCUGUAGUUGCAGUAAACGUCUGAAAAACAAACAAAAAAUCAAAACUUUCAACAACGGAUCUCUUGGUUCUGGCAUCGAUGAAGAACGCAGCGAAAUGCGAUAAGUAGUGUGAAUUGCAGAAUUCAGUGAAUCAUCGAAUCUUUGAACGCACAUUGCGCCCUUUGGUAUUCCUUAGGGCAUGCCUGUUCGAGCGUCAUCUAACCCCCUCAAGCACUGCUUGGUGUUGGGCGCUUUGUCCCGCCCCGGCGCGGACUCGCCUCAAAAGCAUUGGCGGCCUGUGUAUUGGCUUCGAGCGCAGCAGACGCGCGCCUCGCGAACCUCUGGCACGGGCGUCCAUCAAGACGCACCCCAAAGUUUGACCU
Molecule: unclassified non-coding RNA, 521 nt
Filed under: Lophiostoma sp. AK190/05
Lineage: Eukaryota; Fungi; Ascomycota; Dothideomycetes; Pleosporales; Lophiostomataceae
Description: sequence contains ITS1, 5.8S rRNA gene, ITS2
Rfam family: 5.8S ribosomal RNA (bases 202-355)
Source: RNAcentral